AAGGAUUUAAGUUAAGUGAAACUAAUAGCCUUCAAAGCUGUCAUUAGAGAGUCUCUAAGCCUUG
Molecule: transfer RNA, 64 nt
Filed under: Cucujoidea sp. 20 KM-2017
Lineage: Eukaryota; Metazoa; Arthropoda; Insecta; Coleoptera
Description: tRNA-Trp
Source: RNAcentral